CUACGGGUGGCUGCAGUGGGGAAUAUUGGACAAUGGGCGAAAGCCUGAUCCAGCCAUGCCGCGUGUGUGAAGAAGGCCUUCGGGUUGUAAAGCACUUUCAGUGGGGAAGAAAGCCUUGGGGCUAAUACCCUCGAGGAAGGACAUCACCCACAGAAGAAGCACCGACUAACUCCGUGCCAGCAGCCGCGGUAAUACGGAGGGUGCGAGCGUUAAUCGGAAUUACUGGGCGUAAAGCGCGCGUAGGCGGUCUGAUAAGCCGGUUGUGAAAGCCCCGGGCUCAACCUGGGAACGGCAUCCGGAACUGUCAGGCUAGAGUGCAGGAGAGGAAGGUAGAAUUCCCGGUGUAGCGGUGAAAUGCGUAGAGAUCGGGAGGAAUACCAGUGGCGAAGGCGGCCUUCUGGACUGACACUGACGCUGAGGUGCGAAAGCGUGGGUAGCAAACAGGAUUAGAUACCCUUGUAGUC
RNAcentral lists this ribosomal RNA (464 nucleotides) under Vreelandella stevensii. RNAcentral's name for it is "partial 16S ribosomal RNA". It matches the Rfam family "Bacterial small subunit ribosomal RNA", at positions 339 to 795 of the family's 1533-position model. Lineage: Bacteria; Pseudomonadati; Pseudomonadota; Gammaproteobacteria; Oceanospirillales; Halomonadaceae. The record is from RNAcentral.